GUGGGGAAUAUUGGACAAUGGGGGGAACCCUGAUCCAGCCAUGCCGCGUGUGUGAAGAAGGCCUUUUGGUUGUAAAGCACUUUAAGCGAGGAGGAGGCUACCGAGAUUAAUACUCUUGGAUAGUGGACGUUACUCGCAGAAUAAGCACCGGCUAACUCUGUGCCAGCAGCCGCGGUAAUACAGAGGGUGCAAGCGUUAAUCGGAUUUACUGGGCGUAAAGCGCGCGUAGGUGGCCAAUUAAGUCAAAUGUGAAAUACCCGAGCUUAACUUGAGAAUUGCAUUCGAUACUUGUUGGCUAGAGUAUGGGAGAGGAUGGUAGAAUUCCAGGUGUAGCGGUGAAAUGCGUAGAGAUCUGGAGGAAUACCGAUGGCGAAGGCAGCCAUCUGGCCUAAUACUGACACUGAGGUGCGAAAGCAUGGGGAGCAAACAGGAUUAGAUACCCCUGUAGUUC
RNAcentral lists this ribosomal RNA (451 nucleotides) under uncultured bacterium. RNAcentral's name for it is "partial 16S ribosomal RNA". It matches the Rfam family "Bacterial small subunit ribosomal RNA", at positions 354 to 796 of the family's 1533-position model. The record is from RNAcentral.